UUGGACAUUCAUAGUUACUUGGGACAACAGUUUUAGCAGGGCUCUCUCCUUUCCUGAUCUCUGUGUUAAGCUGCCUGCCUCAUUUGAUAUCACAUCCAAAUUAUCAGCUGAUUGCUCUGUUGUUUUGGACAAUGCCCUGGGGCAUACCAAAAUGUGUCUGGAAUUGGUGGGUUCUUGGUCUUACUGACUUUAAGAAUAAAGUUGCAGACUUUUGUGGUGAUCCACUCUACCUCAUAUUGUCUUAUAAUGGCCAUCCAGUUUAUCCUAGAGCCCUUGUAUGACACAUGCCUAUUGGAGCAUAGGAAUGCCAAUAUUUUACCUCUUGGGUACUUUCUGUGUAGAAGAUUCAUAACAAGAACAAUGCUUAUUCUGCAAUUCUUUAUAUAAAGCUAAAAGAAAAUGCAUUCUGCCAACAACUAAUGAGCUUGGAAGAGAACUCCAAACCCCAGAAGAGGCCUGUCACAUUAGCUAACACCUUACUUUCCACCCACUGAGACCUUGAGCAGAGACUUCAGUUACACCCCACCCAGACUUCUGACCUGCAAAACUUAAGAAGAAAGCCCAAAGACAAAACCAGAGACAACUGGCUGCUGCAUCGCCCACCCAGUGGCAGUAGUGUGAGCUAUGGACAAAAGAUCUAAGUCUCCGGGACAAAGAGUUGUGCAGCUGCUCAUUUUCCUGUUGACUUCUAAGACUUGGAGAUUUUUGUGAGAUUGGGACCUAUCUACAGAGGUAUCACACUCCUCUUGGUCUAACACCCUCUUGAACUGACAUUCGUGGUGA
RNAcentral lists this non-coding RNA (783 nucleotides) under Pongo abelii (Sumatran orangutan). The record is from RNAcentral. Lineage: Eukaryota; Metazoa; Chordata; Mammalia; Primates; Hominidae.